AACUGAAGAGUUUGAUCCUGGCUCAGAUUGAACGCUGGCGGCAUGCUUUACACAUGCAAGUCGAACGGCAGCACGGGGGCAACCCUGGUGGCGAGUGGCGAACGGGUGAGUAAUGCAUCGGAACGUAUCCUUAAGUGGGGGAUAACGCACCGAAAGGUGUGCUAAUACCGCAUAAUCUCUGAGGAGAAAAGCAGGGGAUCGCAAGACCUUGCGCUUUUGGAGCGGCCGAUGUCUGAUUAGCUAGUUGGUGAGGUAAAGGCUUACCAAGGCGUCGAUCAGUAGCUNGUCU
This 289-nucleotide ribosomal RNA is filed under the name Nitrosospira multiformis. Its description in RNAcentral is "16S ribosomal RNA". It matches the Rfam family "Bacterial small subunit ribosomal RNA", at positions 1 to 293 of the family's 1533-position model. Lineage: Bacteria; Pseudomonadati; Pseudomonadota; Betaproteobacteria; Nitrosomonadales; Nitrosomonadaceae. The record is from RNAcentral.